CACUAUUUGGGUCUCACUUCUCAGUUUCCUCUCUCUUUCCUUCUAUCCUUCUCUCUUUCCCUUCUCCUAUCUGUAGCUACAUACAGGGAGCACCAAUUUGUCGAGAAAAUUACAAAUCAAAAACGGGCCAAUUUGAAUUUUAAACCCUUGGUUAUUCUCUAAGUUAUGUAUUUUAUUCAAUGUUCUAAAGAUGCCAAUACAAAAUUGUGAGGAAGCAUCACUACUCAAAAGUGGGAAAGGAUGUCCUACAUCAUUCAGAAGUGUCCUCCCUUGAAAAAGGAGAGUGUUUAUUGUAUAUUUACUUUGGAGGAUGUCUCUCAUAGUUGGCUUGGCUUGAUUCCGUCGGCAUUCCAUAGUUUGCGGUGAUAUUACUUUCCUUUUGUGCCUAUUUAAGGUCUCUAUUCUUCCUCUUUUACUAUGCAUGUAAUUUUUUUUCAAAGUCAUGAAUAUAUGGUGCUAUUGUUGUUGGUUUAUUAUUUUCUAAUAAGUUUUCUAUUGCGGUAUAUAAUUAAUUUCCCGGAUCAAAUAAAGGUGAAUAACUUUUUUUUUUGGUUAGACGAAGUUGGGGAUGGAAAGAAAACUUGGUGUUAUUACCUGAAUAUAUCCUGGAAUUAUCUAAUUAGUUCGUCACUUGACCGCUCCUUUUUUUGUGUUAUAUUGGAAAUGUUUCCUUAAUGAUUUGAAUUAAAAUAAAAGGAAAAAGAUGCUUGUACACACAUUACAUUUGCUAACUCAUGAAUUGAUUAGUAGCUGAUUCGAUGAAGCUUCCUUUACAUUCUGUAUUCAUUCAAUUUCACUAUUAUAUCACUAAUUUCUUAUUAUUCAGAUGUAAUCUAAGCGUUAUUGCUAGUCAAUGUUGCGGAUGAUGUUAUUUGUUACUAUAAAGGUAGCAUCUUUCAAGUUAAUUUAGAGUCUUAUGCCUUUAUAGUUGAAUAUAUUCCACAAUAGAUUUGUUUAACUGGUUUCUAUUUUCUGAACAAUUAUUCCUUAAUAUGUUUCCUCAAGUUGCUAUAUUUUCUCUCCAAUGUCUUUGCAUUAGCGUUUAAGUAACAAAAAUCACCUAAUGCUUUUUUAGACCAUUGAUGUUAGUGAAGGAACAUAUGCAUGUGAUGCAUUCUUUUUCCAUUGAAAGGAGGAAACUAAAAUAUUCUCAAUUUGUGGUCAAGGUAUAUAGACAUGGUAAAACAUGUCUUGGUAUGAGUUAUAUUUUGGGAAUAGAUUUAACAAAAGAUCUCGAGGACAGAAACAUAUGGGGGAGGGAAAAAGCGAGCGCUAAUAAAGAAAAAAGAAACCAAGGUUGAUCGCAUAUAGUCCUAUAGCUUUGAUCUGUGCCUUACGUUUUCAUCCAUAUUUAUUGAUUUCUUUCUGAAUUAUCUGCAAUGAGCAAAACUUUUGUAAUAUAUUUCUGUCCUAUCCGACGAAAAUAAGUCUUGAUUUAAGUCAUUGAAUAAAGAGAGUGCUAAUUACAUUCUUCGCUAAAUCUCAGUGUGAUCAUUAGUUAGGUUAUUUAAGCGAGUUUUUUUUUUUGAGCAAACAGGAAAUAUAUAUAUUAAAAGCUAAGGAACAUCCAGUACAUAGUUAACAUAGCUUGCAUCACGGAGGAUGCAUUUGUUUCCUAAGCUUGCUAGCAUAUUAGAAGCUUCAUUACAUAGGAGUUUUUCAUGACAAGUUGAUUCAAGUUUGUCACUUUCAACAAAAUAUAGUACAUCAAAAGGUGGUACGACAAAAACUUUUUUUUUGCGGGCUUCACUGCUUUGCUGCUUCCUGCCAAUCCCUGAGGCUUGUUUUCCCUUCCUAGAACUUCUUUGGCUAGUUGGUGAGCAAUCCCAUUCCCCUGCCUGAAAGUGUGUUGGAGAGUAACCCUCUGCUGGUGCAUUAAGGACCUGUAAUCAUUAACAGUUUUGUUAAGUAAUUUAUUACCAUGUUGUAUUGCCUGGAUAGCCUCUGAGCAGUCUGUCUCAAUCUCAAGUGGGAAGAGAUUCCAUUCCUUUGCUGUUCGUAGCCCUUCUCGUAGUGCUUUUAAUUAUGCUGCAAGGGAGCCAUUUUCAUGUGCUAGUUUUGCAAAACCAACCACCCAGUAGCCGGUUGCAUUUCUAAAAACACCCGCUAGACCACAAUUUUUGCCAUUACUAUGAAAACUUGCAUCCACAUUCAAUUUGUACCAUCCCCUAGAGGGUUUGAACCAGUUAAUUUUUAUAAGGGAUUUGGGAGGGUGGAUAAGGGAUUUUUCCGUGAAAAGUUUAAAUUCCAAUGCCUUUAGCAUGAUUUUGGAACCCCUUAAAAAAUUGUUCGUGUUGUUGAUGUUAUUACUGUUUCUAUUAAUCCAGAUAUGCCAGAUAAGGAAAGGAAAGAAGUUUUCCCAGUUAAUGAGGUUGUGUUUUAGAGGAAUAUUGAGAUCUCUUACUUGGAGAAGCCAGUGCUUCCCAUUUUUUACGAUUUGCUGGGUUGCUUGCAGUUCUCUCCAGAGAUUACUGACAACUCUGCAAUCUAGGAAGAUAUGUUCAAUUGACUCUUCAAUAGGGUUUUUGCAGAUGGGACAAUUUGAAUCAAUGUUUAGUCCGAUCUGCGAAAGGUACUUCCUGCAAGGGAUUCGAUUGUGAAGACAUUGCCAUCGGAAGAAUUUAAUUUUAUUAGGGCACUCCAGGUGCCAGAUCCAUUCAAAGUCAUGGUUAGAUCCCUUAGGGGAUUCAAGCAGAGUAUAACAAGAGGCGGUGGUAAAGACUCCUUUGGUGGUGAGGGGCCAAGUAGGAGUGUCAGUGAGAAUGCCUUUUUGGCGGAUUUUUAUUUUGGAGAUGGUAGCUAACAUAUCCGGAGAGGGAGAGAAGGUUAAAGAGUUUAGGUUCCACAUAGUUCCAUCAAAGAUAUCUCUAAUUUUAUAGAGAGAUCCUUGGCUGAAGGGGGGCCUGUAAAUAGGUUCCUUAGGCGACCAAUAUUUGGUAUCCAAUUGUCCCCCCAUAAGUUAAGGUUGGAGUGGAUAUGAGUGGACCAUGUGAUGCCUUUGGAACAGAUUUUCCACCCUCUGCGAAUGCUUUUCCAGAGGAAGGAUGUUCUAUUUGCAGAGGGGCUAUUGCAAUAGUAAGAGAUGAUUAGCUUUGCCCAAGGAAUUAAGGUAUUAGUAAGGAGUCUCCAGCUUAAGCUGGCCAGGGUACAAAGGUUUUUAUUGAGAGAAUUAUGGAUCCCCAGUCAGCCAUAUUUUUUGGGUUGGCAUAUAGUGGACCAGUUUACUAAGUGAAGUUUCCUUUUUUCAAUUGUACUACCCCAAAUGAAAUCCCUUUGGACUUUAUCAAUCUUUUUAAGGGUUUUAGUAGGGAGCAGGGUGUAUUGCAUAUAAUGGUUUGGGAUGUUGUUAAGGCAUGAUGAUGCAAGGGUUGUUCUUCCUGCCAAGCUAAAAAACCUCAUCUUCCAGGAUGCAAGUUUGGUUCUCAUUUUGUCUAUGAGGAAUUGGUAAUCUCUAGGUUUUGGGAUGUGAUGAAGGAUGGGGAAACCUAGAUAUGUGCCAAAGUUGUUACUCUUUUUAAUACCAAGAGAAGUGGUAAUGUUGGUAAUGAUUGAUUGAUUACAAUUUUUUGAAAAAAGGAUUUUUGAUUUAGUCAGAUUGAUGUUUUGACCAGAUAGAGAGCAAAAUAUGUCAAGCCCAUUUUUUAUGGCCUGACAGGAUUUAGUAUUUGCUCUAGCCAUGAGAGAAAGGUCGUCAGCAAAUAAUAGAUGGGAUAUCUUUGGGCAUUUAUAUCCUAGGGAAAUGGGGUCCCAGUUUUUGAUAUCUACUUGGUAUUCUAUAUAUCUGGUGAGCAUUUCUAGACAGAGGAUAAAGAUAUAGGGGAGAUGGG
This is a long non-coding RNA of Nicotiana attenuata, 3827 nucleotides long. RefSeq lists it as uncharacterized. The transcript is spliced from 3 exons. The record is from RefSeq and is a predicted model, not a curated record. Lineage: Eukaryota; Viridiplantae; Streptophyta; Magnoliopsida; Solanales; Solanaceae.